UGGCUUCAGUUUCGCUUCAGAGACUGGAUGCCAGGGAGCCCAAAAGCUUUCGUAGAGAUGACGAGCUCCUUAAUUAUUUCUGACGUCACGGAUGAACAACUUGCCCGGUCGGCCGUGAUUGGUUAGCCUGGACUGUGGCUCUUGUCCUAAUUGGGUAGCUAACUUUAGGUUUUGGUUACCUGGAGUCGGAACCCCUCCCAGUUAGGAAGUGAAAGCGAGGGUUGCCAACAGGGAAUAUUUGGCUGGGAUACGGAGGGUCCCACCCUUUUCUUGGCCUUGUUGCCACAAGCUACUGCAGUUCAUGCCAUUGUUCCCCUCCCAUGCCAUGACCUCCCUACUGCUGCUGUUUGACUGAAGGUCUGAGAGCUGUUUGGAAGUACCUGAGAGCUGUUUGGAAGCAACUUCUUUUUCCUGCUGGAAGGGUGAGAUCCAAAUCCUGUUAAGCUACCCUUUCCCCCCUCCCCCCACUUGGGUCUCAAGUCUGCUACUUUGCCAUUUCUAUCCUUGAAAAAGUAGAAAAGGACAUGUCCUGCUAGCCGCUUUUCAUCAGGGGAACACAAUGUGGAGCAGCCAAUACACACUAUCCACCUCAACCCCAGGCUAGCUAACCCAGUGGCUCUUCCAUGCUCCUGGCUGUGGGAAUGGGGACUGAGGUGUCACAGGACCACUGGCUUUACCCCUGGGGAGGGGAAGGGACAGAGCUCUUCUCCCAAAUAUUCCUUGUGAGGUUUUUACUCUUAGCCAUUACAUACUAGGCUAGCUCCACCUAUGAACAGGAAAUAGAUUUACAACCAAUUUAAUAAGUAGGAUUGCAAGCAUAGCCCAGUUUCCUAACUAUAUCUCAAAUAGCUCCCAUUCCUGGAGAGCAUUACUGAGCUCACACAGCUCAAAGUUUUAGGAUGUCUUUUCUUGCUGCAGUUCCUGGGAGUUCUUGUAUUGAUAGGAUAUCUUGCAGUUGAUAGCUUGAGUAAUCUCGAGAUUCAGAGGAGAGAUUCAUCUUCCUACCAUUUUGGCUGCCCAGUCUUUGCAACAUAUCCAAUAUGGGGUUCUUCUUCCACACUAUGCUCAGUGUGGGUAUGGGGAACCCCAGAAUAUGACCAAAGGAAUCUAGAUGAAUGAUGAUACUCAGGAGGGGAAGGAUCAUUAAAGAGUCUCGAGGUGAAUUUUAAGCCUUUUCUGACUCCCUUGUGUUAUUGAUGUAAACUGUUUCAAUUUGUUCCCCUCCAAAUAGUGAAGAAGUCUCUAUAAUGCAGCUAUUGGAAUUGGAGAAAAGGACUCUUGAAUUCAUUGCUCACAUCCUGUCACAUAUAUUCUAUUUGUUAAUUGUUUUAAGAUUUAAUUUUGUUCUUGAGUUUACAUAUUAAUCUAAUCUAAAAUAGUCUAUUACACUAUGUCACUUUAAGUUAUUGUGUUUUGGCUAUUAGCUAUGUGUUCUGUUACACUGUUUUUAUUUGUACUGUUCUACUAUCUUUAUUUAUACUGUUCUAUGCCUAGACUGGAGAUAAUACCAUUGUAAAAACCUAUAGUCUAGUUGGGGAAACCCUUUCUGUGACUUAAGGACUCACAAGUCCUUAAAUAUACUGGGUUUGUCACCAGAUCUAUUGAGGUCACAUAUUAACUAUGCAACCUUUUAUAUCUUUUUGCCUUUGUUAAUUGUCACAUAGAUGAUGAUGAAUGUACUCCAUCAAAUUGGUUACAACCUGUAUCAGUAACUUUUGGAGAAUUUUAUGAUUUCUUAUGGUUUGGGGGAUUUGGGUACUUCUUUGAAUGUGAUUUAGCUGUUGUACUACUGUGUUUUGUUUUGUUUUUAUAAAGCUUGUUAAAAAAUCAUGUACACUCACACUGUGGAUCAUGGCCAAGUUUAAGAAGGAAAUAAUCUCAUUUUUGAGUGAGAAAUCUUUGUGUUGUGCCUCUGCUUGGCUAACACAGUGUCUCAUGGAAUGUGCACUAUGAAUUUUAAAAAAUUUAUUAUUGUUUUUCCUUUCAUGUGCAAUAGGAUAUUUGAAUUUUCUUUCCUCUUAUUUUUUUGUACUUAUAGUUUUAGCAGUCAGUAUUAAUGUUUUUUUUUUAUUUUGCACUAAUAUAAGUUUAUAAUAUUCAUUAGCCCUAAUAUUAAUGCAAACCCAAAAGCUUUAGACUAUGGAAACCUGACAUUGAUUGUUUAAUAUGGGACUUUGACGAAUAGUUGUGUCUGAUUUCAGAAGAAGGGAUUACAAAAGAACUGUUAUACAGUGCCAAGAAGCACAAGAUCAAGAUCAACCAAUACUGAUGGUAUUGAUGAGAAUCUGCACCAAGACAGAAGAUUUGUUUUGGGGUUCAAGGAAGUGACUGUUUGACAAUGUCAGAUGCAGGAUUUCCCCAUGCCAGAUUCAGACAAAGUACCUCAGUUUGGCUGCCAUUUUGACUCCCCCAAUCUUGUGAGUGAAGGUAAAAUCAGACCCAGGAAUGCUAUUUCCCUUUUUUCCUUCAAAGUCUAGUCCCUUUUCUCUCUUUCAUAGUGUGGUAAUUUUCUAUAGUCUUGGCUGCUGAUUGGGUGGUCCUACAGGCUUGUAGAACAUAAAUCAUUUUAUUGGGCCCCAAUUCUAGGACCUGUUAUGGGCUUACUCAGAAUCUUUAUAUACAAUUUGAUUUUGAUUUUUUCCCCUUUUCUUUUAUUUGAGUUUUUUUUAAUGUUUUUUAUUUUCUUUUGUCAAUUGGUCCAUAUACCUCAUAAAUCAGCCCUGUGUUGGUCAACACCAUUCUCAGGGGGCAUUGUAUUAUUAUCCUAUUGUUUGAGAGUAAUUUUAGGAUAAGAAACUUGCUACCUCCCCAAAUCAAGAAAGUGAACUGUUUGGAGAAAGUGCCAUAAAGAAGCCUGUAGAAACCAUGCACUGCACCAAAAGAUCCAGAGUGAACUUUGGGAUGUAAUGGAUUUGAACUGUGAGGGGUUGAAUGCUUUUAUUUUGAAUGUACACUCAUAUGCCAAAAGGGACUGCCCCCAAUUGGCUUUUUGUCAAUGUGCCUAGCAAUCAUUAGUUAUGUUCUCUUUCUCUUUUACUUCCCUAUUAUCCUCAAAUUAUUGUAAUUUCCCCUUAGAAAAUGCAAUAUUGUAUAUACCUCUAGUUAAAGAUCUUUAGAGAUAUAAGGUUAUGUGUAAUGAUUCAUUGGGGAAAGUAGGCAUGUAAAUCUUAGAGAUUUCUACAUGCUUAUUUUCCAAUGGAAUCACGGGGAGGGGUUAUAAUUAGAAUUUUGCACCCCAGGACUCUAAAUCUCAGCAUCCCAUCUAUGUGUUUACCUAUGUCCUUAUGUAGGGAGAAUAUAUUUUGACGUAGCUCCUCCUGCUCUCUACUUCCCUGAUUGUGACUAGGAAAGUUGGGCAAGAAAAUUUUUCUCACAUGGCUUUACUUAGGCUUUUACUUUUGUUCUUGUACUUUUUCUACUAUCAAGUGAUUAUUAAUAAACUUUAAAAAUAUAAUACUUGGAGUUAUUGGAUAUUAAUUUUAAUCUUAUAGGGGAGAGAGUAGAGUUGUGGUAUGAUUAAAAUAUCUCAAUAUACUGCUUUUUGGGUAAGAAUAUAAGUUUAUUGAUUACAUCAGGUUUAUUGAUUAGGCCAGCAUCUUAACUGAUAAAGUGAUAUAGGUCUAUAGCUCCCUUCCCAACUAAAGAUGACCUGGAUUGUAUCAGGCAGCCUGAUAAAUAGAUUUUUAGGAGCUCAUUUUUCAGUGCCAACCUUGGACAUCCCAAUACAUUUUUAAUUGGUGAUAAUUAAUUAAGGGGUGGUCCAUCAGACCCUCAGCCCUUUCCCAACUGACAGGUGAAAUUUUGUGUGUACACCAGAAAAACCCUCCUCCCCUUCAUUUUUAAAAAACAAAAUGCCAUUAAAAAGGAAGACAUUCUUUGGAAUUUCCAAGGGCAAAGAAAAUGCAAAAAGUAGUAGUUUAGAUGAUAUUUCUGAUCCAGAUGCCAGACAUUGGAAUAUGCAUUGGUUCUUCCUAAAACAUAUAUAGGAUAAAGUAUAUGAAAAACAAAUUCUCACAGUAGAAAAGGCUCUGUGCCCCCUUCCCCCCAAGCUUAGUUCUAUAAUGAUAUGGGAAAUUUCCUCCUUCUUUAAAUUGAAUAGAAACAUUUUGAGGUAUAAGUAAUUGGCAAAAUCUUUGAAGAAUCCUUUAAAAAAGCAAUUUCUAAGUUUAAAAAGAAUUAUAUACCCUUUUCUGUCAAAAAAUGUCUGAACACAUGCCAUCAAUAUAUAUGUGUUUAAUUAUUAUAAAG
Molecule: long non-coding RNA, 4248 nt
Organism: Monodelphis domestica (gray short-tailed opossum)
Lineage: Eukaryota; Metazoa; Chordata; Mammalia; Didelphimorphia; Didelphidae
Source: RefSeq, a predicted model, not a curated record